UACAGAGGUCCCAGGCGUUGUUCGGAUUCAUUGGGCGUAAAGGGUGCGUAGGCGGCGCGGUAAGUCGGGUGUGAAAUCUCGGGGCUUAACUCCGAAACUGCAUUCGAUACUGCCGUGCUUGAGGACUGGAGAGGAGACUGGAAUUUACGGUGUAGCGGUGAAAUGCGUAGAUAUCGUAAGGAAGACCAGUGGCGAAGGCGGGUCUCUGGACAGUUCCUGACGCUGAGGCACGAAGGCCAGGGGAGCAAACGGG
RNAcentral lists this ribosomal RNA (253 nucleotides) under uncultured bacterium. RNAcentral's name for it is "partial 16S ribosomal RNA". It matches the Rfam family "Bacterial small subunit ribosomal RNA", at positions 524 to 776 of the family's 1533-position model. The record is from RNAcentral.